Non-coding RNA from Pantherophis guttatus, 857 nucleotides. Lineage: Eukaryota; Metazoa; Chordata; Lepidosauria; Squamata; Colubridae. The record is from RefSeq and is a predicted model, not a curated record.
UAGUUUUCAUCAUUUUAAUAAAAGAUUUUGUAAUCUGUGUGGCCUCAAAUAGAGUUCAACAAUUAAAUUGCCUAUCGUUGACAAAACCAUAUUCCAUGCCAAAAAUCUAAUAUUUGUGUUUAUAUGUUACACUGAUCAUGAUGUCUGACUCUUUAGACAAUCUAAUCACAUCCUUUUUAACAGAGACAGAAUGACAUACUAAUUGCAGCCUCAUAUUGAUCUGAUUUUCUAUGCUGACCUACAAUAGCCUCGUCACUGAAUCAAAAUACUUUUCUUUUUUGCUUUGCAUUAAUCUGUCUGUCUAUCAUUAAAUUCUGAUUCCUGUAACCUUUAACUGGGAAAACAGCACAUCAUAGUAGGGCUUUUUGAACCAAGGCACCUUGAAUGGACUAUCUUACAGACUACCUCAAAAAUCCAAGAUCUCAGACUCCUGUGGAAUUGAAAUUUGGCAAAUGUUAAAAAACAUUUGAUGAUAUAACCAGUAUCAUAAAGCAAUUUAUGACAUAAUUCAAAAUGUCAUAAAACAUUUUCUGUGCUUCAUAUAGCACAUGUUUGACUGUGCUAUACAUGGACUAUUUUCAAGGCAGACACAUCUCUGAAUGUAUCCCAAUUUUUCCAGUGAAGGCAGUACAUUAGAAGCUCUGUCACUGUUGAAGAAAUCUGCAUGAUAACGUUUUGAAAGCCUGAUACAAGACACCACUAACAACAAAGCUGAAGGAAGCGGCUAACUUCUGACUGCAGCUGCUUCAGCUGAGAAAGAAUCACUGAAAGUCGAGGCAGACAUGUUUGUUCCCAGGUGCAAUGGAUUAAGGAGGAAGAUGUUCUAGAGGAUGGUAUUAAAACAAAAAAAGCUCUCC